AGGGCGUACGGUGAAUGCCUUGGUGCCAACAGGCGAAGAAGGACGCGGCAAGCUGCGAAAAACCUCGGGAAGCUGCAAGCAAGCGAUGAUCCGGGGGUGUCCGAAUGGGGUAACCUGACUGGGGUAAUACCUGGUCGUUCAUACCUGAAUACAUAGGGUAUGAAACGCAAUACCCGCUGAAGUGAAACAUCUCAGUAAGCGGAGGAAAAGAAAGAGAAAUCGAUUCCGUAAGUAGUGGCGAGCGAAAGCGGAUGGAGCCCAAACCGAAGGUACUCCUUCGGGGUUGUAGGACCACGACAUAUUCGACCAUAGUGGAUAGUAGAACAGUCUGGAAAGGCUGGCCAUAGAAGGUGAAAGCCCUGUAGACGAAAUCCAGAGUGGGAAUUAGUGGUAUCCUGAGUAAUACAUCACACGUGGAACGAUGUAUGAAUCAGCGCGGACCACCGCGCAAGGCUAAAUACUAGUUGGCGACCGAUAGUGAACAAGUACCGCGAGGGAAAGGUGAAAAGAACCGCUGUGAGCGGAGUGAAAUAGAACCUGAAACCGUAUGUCUACAAAGUGUCAGAGCAGAGCAAUCUGCGAUGGCGUGCCUUUUGUUUAAUGAGUCUGCGAGUCAGUGUUUGUGGCAAGACUAAGGGCUUCCGGCCCGGAGUCGCAGCGAAAGCAAGUCCGAAUAGGGCGCAUUAAGUCGCAGGUACUGGACCCGAAGCGGAGGUGACCUACCCUUGGCCAGGUUGAAGCAUGGGUAAAACCAUGUGGAGGACCGAACAGGUGAACGUUGAAAAGUUCUCUGAUGAGCUGAGGGUAGGAGUGAAAGGCUAAUCAAACCCCGUGAUAGCUGGUUCUCUUCGAAAUGCAUUUAGGUGCAGCGUCACGUGCUGAUGCGCGGGGGUAGAGCACUGACAAGGCUAGGGGGCACACCCGCUUACCAAACCUUAUCAAACUCCGAAUACCGUGCAAUGGAACGUGGCAGUGAGACAGUGGGGGAUAAGCUUCAUUGUCGAGAGGGAAACAACCCAGACCAGCAGCUAAGGUGCCUAAAUAACGCUGAGUGGAAAGGAUGUGGGAUUACACAGACAGUGAGGAUGUUGGCUUAGAAGCAGCCACCAUUUAAAAAAUGCGUAAUAGCUUACUCAUCGAGUGAUCCUGCGCCGAAAAUGAUUGGCGAUCAAGCGUUAUACCGAAGCUCUGGACUUUGCCGCAAGGCAGAGUGGUAGAAGAGCGUUGCAUGCGCAUUGAAGGGUGAUGGCGACUGACCCUGGAGCGCAUGCAAGUGAGUAUGCAGACAUGAGUAACGUAAAGCCGGGUGAAAUCCCCGGCCGCCGUAAACCCGAGGUUUCCAGGGCAACGUGUUUCGUCCCUGGGUUAGCCGGGACCUAAGCCGAGGCCGAGAGGCGUAGGCGAUGGAUAUCAGGUUAAUAAUCCUGAGCUCGCGACCCUUAAACUGGGGGGACGCAUGAGAAGAGAUGACCAGGUUAUUGAAUUCCGAGCUGGGUCCACGGACCCAGCGCAUCAUCAAAUCGAGUGCCAAGAAAAGCCCCAGCGUAUGCUAAGCGACCCGUACCGCAAACCGACACAGGUGGGUGGGUAGAAUAUACCAAGGCGUAAGAGUGAAACCUGGUUAAGGAACUCGGCAAAUUAGCCCCGUAACUUCGGAAGAAGGGGUGCCUGCAGCGAUGCAGGCCGCAGAGAAAUGGCCCAACCGACUGUUUAUCAAAAACACAGCACUCUGCAAAGACGCAAGUCGAAGUAUAGGGUGUGACACGUGACCAAUGCCGAAAGAUUAAGGCAAGGGGUUAGCCGCAAGGCGAAGCUCUGAACCCAAGUCCCGGUGAAUGUCGGCCGUAACUAUAACGGUCCUAAGGUAGCGAAAUUCCUUGUCGGGUAAGUUCCGACCUGCACGAAUCGUGAAACGAGUUGGGCACUGUCUCAACCAGGCGCUCAGUGAAAUUGUAGUGGCGGUGAAGAUGCCGCCUACCCGCAGAAGGACGGAAAGACCCUAUAGACCUUAACUGUAAGCUGUCAUUGUUUCUUCGGUUUUAAUGCUCAGAGUAAGUGGGAGACGCUGAAGAUGCCCUUUAGGGGGCAUCCGAGUCAUCAAUGAGACACCACCCUUUGAAACUGGAGGAUCUAACCCUGAGCCGUGAAUCCGGCCAGAGGACCGUGUCAGCCGGUCAGUUUUACUGGGGCGGUAUCCUCCCAAAGAGUAACGGAGGAGCGCGAAGGUGGGCUCAGCCCGGUUGGCAACCGGGUGUCGAGUGCAUGGGCAUAAGCCCGCCUAACUGUGAGACCAACAAGUCGAGCAGAUGCGAAAGCAGGCCCAAGUGAUCCGGCGGUAGAAAGUGGAAUUGCCGUCGCUCAACGGAUAAAAGGUACCUUAGGGAUAACAGGCUGAUCACGCCCAAGAGUUCAUAUCGACGGCGUGGUUUGGCACCUCGAUGUCGGCUCGUCGCAUCCUGGGGCUGUAUUCGGUCCCAAGGGU
RNAcentral lists this ribosomal RNA (2482 nucleotides) under human gut metagenome. Its description in RNAcentral is "bacterial LSU rRNA". It matches the Rfam family "Bacterial large subunit ribosomal RNA", at positions 14 to 2572 of the family's 2925-position model. The record is from RNAcentral.